UACGGGGGGUGCGAGCGUUGUCCGGAAUCACUGGGCGUAAAGGGCGCGUAGGUGGCCUGAUAAGGGUGUGGUGAAAGUCCGGGGCUUAACCCCGGAUCUGCCGUGCCGACUGUUAGGCUAGAGUGCUGUAGGGGCAGGCGGAAUUCCGGGUGUAGCGGUGGAAUGCGUAGAUAUCGAGAGGAACACCUGCGGCGAAGGCGGGUUGCUGGGCUGAUACUGACGCUGAGGCGCGAAAGCCAGGGGAGCGAACGGG
RNAcentral lists this ribosomal RNA (253 nucleotides) under uncultured bacterium. RNAcentral's name for it is "partial 16S ribosomal RNA". It matches the Rfam family "Bacterial small subunit ribosomal RNA", at positions 524 to 776 of the family's 1533-position model. The record is from RNAcentral.